RNAcentral lists this ribosomal RNA (463 nucleotides) under uncultured bacterium. RNAcentral's name for it is "bacterial SSU rRNA". It matches the Rfam family "Bacterial small subunit ribosomal RNA", at positions 917 to 1382 of the family's 1533-position model. The record is from RNAcentral.
GGGCCCGCACAAGCGGUGGAGCAUGUGGUUUAAUUCGACGCAACGCGCAGAACCUUACCAGGGUUUGACAUCCUGUGCUACGCGCUGAGAGGCGCGGUCCCCGCAAGGGGCGCAGAGACAGGUGCUGCAUGGCUGUCGUCAGCUCGUGUCGUGAGAUGUUGGGUUAAGUCCCGCAACGAGCGCAACCCUCGCCUUUAGUUGCCAUCAUUUAGUUGGGCACUCUAGAGGGACCGCCGGCGACAAGCCGGAGGAAGGUGGGGAUGACGUCAAGUCCUCAUGGCCCUUACACCCUGGGCUACACACGUGCUACAAUGGCGGUGACAGUGGGCAGCGACCACGCGAGUGGAUGCGAAUCCCAAAAAACCGUCCCAGUUCAGAUUGUACUCUGCAACUCGAGUACAUGAAGGUGGAAUCGCUAGUAAUCGCAGAACAGCAGGCUGCGGUGAAUACGUUCCCGGGCCUU